RNAcentral lists this long non-coding RNA (1065 nucleotides) under Oryctolagus cuniculus (rabbit). RNAcentral describes it as "lncRNA (ENSOCUG00000032792.1)". The record is from RNAcentral. Lineage: Eukaryota; Metazoa; Chordata; Mammalia; Lagomorpha; Leporidae.
GGAUUGAGGCUCACUUUGCUAUGGGCUUUCUGGUGCCGAGAUUAGCUUGCCACUGCAAGCCACUACAAACACAAGUCAAAGUCACACUGACUGAGCUACAAUGCCUUGGCACCCACCAACCUCUUCUUCCCCCAAGUGGACAAUUACUCUGUCUGUGCUAUUCUGCCCGGUGUUGGGAAGGCAUGGAGCAAGCAAUCCUGCAGCUACCAACACUGCAAUGCUAAAGCACACCCAGAAUCUACAUCUCCCUAAGACCAGCGUAGCAUGAGGUAGGAUUGAGGCUCACUUUGCUAUGGGCUUUCUGGUGCCGAGAUUAGCUUGCCACUGCAAGCCACUACAAACACAAGUCAAAGUCACACUGACUGAGCUACAAACCCUACUGGGGGGCACAGCCACUUGGGGACUGGGCUGGUUGAGGGGCCUUUAUCUUCAGGUGCUGAUCUGACAACAGCACUCGUUAGUAUCUACCCAAUGAUAGCCAUACCAGAUCCGAGACAAAGUCCUGUGAUUGCUUUCAUGUUUGUCUCCCAGCGACUGAAGUCUUUUUUUUUUUUUUUUUUUUUUUUUUUUGGCUUUCUCCCUAAUGUUAGAGGAAGGGUGAUUAAAGCAGUCCCUCAAUCCCUCAGAUACCUAAAUACCUAGACUGACACUAAGCUGGGUUGCACCUGAAUUUCAUUGCUCCAGGGUUCUGUGAUGUUUAGGUGAUGCAUGCCACGUCCUCCAAGGCUGGGUAAGAUUCAGGCUGAAGAACUUACCUAUCCCACUAAGGUAGAGGUCUACAUCUAAUUCUAGGGCAGGUCUAGAGACUCUGCAUCUACUGGUUUGGGACUAGGGGCUUCUACUCUUUCUGAUGCUGGGUCUCACUUCUGGUAUAAACCCUAGCUUCAAGUCAAAUCCUUAAACUCAUUUUCCUAUCCUAGUCCUCUGUGGUUGAAAUUCUAUUCCUCACUGUCUGAUGUUGGAGAAGACAUUGUGUAGAGAGUCCCUCCGUCACCCAGGCAGACACUAAAUUGGGGCAGACCCUAAUUCACAGUCUCUGGGCUCUGCACAGUCUCAGAGUAUACA